UGAUUCAUGACUGGGGUGAAGUCGUAACAAGGUAACCGUAGGGGAACCUGCGGUUGGAUCACCUCCUUA
This 69-nucleotide ribosomal RNA is filed under the name Citrobacter freundii. RNAcentral's name for it is "partial 16S ribosomal RNA". It matches the Rfam family "Bacterial small subunit ribosomal RNA", at positions 1465 to 1533 of the family's 1533-position model. The record is from RNAcentral. Lineage: Bacteria; Pseudomonadati; Pseudomonadota; Gammaproteobacteria; Enterobacterales; Enterobacteriaceae. RNAcentral also lists the same sequence under 34 other names.